UUGCUUUAGCAACACAUACACCAUCAUUGGAAUGAUAACAGAGAAGAUUAGCAUGGCCCCUGCACAAGGAUGACAUACAAAUUUGUGAAGGUUCCAUAGUUAAA
Heterocephalus glaber (naked mole-rat) is the source of this 104-nucleotide small nuclear RNA. The record is from Ensembl. Lineage: Eukaryota; Metazoa; Chordata; Mammalia; Rodentia; Bathyergidae.